AGGAAUGCGAUGAUUAAGAUUAGUAAAUGAUAAUGGCUUGCUAGAGAGUGAAGUUCUAUGGCUGCAAAACUUCAUCAAGAUUCAUUUCAUUGAACCUACUUAGGAGUAGUUAGGCAAACCUAAACGUCAACCGUCGUUACCGGAAAAGAGUUGUAUAAUCACGCGCAUGUGCAGAUUAUAAUUGAACUAAGGUGGUACCACGGAAAAAACCUUUCGUCCUUUCA
This 224-nucleotide non-coding RNA is filed under the name Niallia circulans. Its description in RNAcentral is "Bacillus circulans T-box sequence". It matches the Rfam family "T-box leader". Rfam says of the family: Uncharged tRNA acts as the effector for transcription antitermination of genes in the T-box leader family. T-boxes are found upstream of many aminoacyl-tRNA synthetase genes and some amino acid biosynthetic genes usually in Gram-positive bacteria. Lineage: Bacteria; Bacillati; Bacillota; Bacilli; Caryophanales; Bacillaceae. The record is from RNAcentral.